GACGAACGCUGGCGGCGUGCUUAACACAUGCAAGUCGAACGGUGAGGCGAGAGCUUGCUCUCGUGGAUCAGUGGCGAACGGGUGAGUAACACGUGAGCAAUCUGCCCCGGACUCUGGGAUAAGCGCUGGAAACGGCGUCUAAUACCGGAUAUGUCGAGUGACCGCAUGGUCUGCUCGUGGAAAGUUUUUCGGUUCGGGAUGAGCUCGCGGCCUAUCAGCUUGUUGGUGAGGUAAUGGCUCACCAAGGCGACGACGGGUAGCCGGCCUGAGAGGGUGACCGGCCACACUGGGACUGAGACACGGCCCAGACUCCUACGGGAGGCAGCAGUGGGGAAUAUUGCACAAUGGGCGCAAGCCUGAUGCAGCAACGCCGCGUGAGGGAUGACGGCCUUCGGGUUGUAAACCUCUUUUAGCAGGGAAGAAGCGAAAGUGACGGUACCUGCAGAAAAAGCACCGGCUAACUACGUGCCAGCCGCCGCUGUAA
Molecule: ribosomal RNA, 484 nt
Filed under: uncultured bacterium
Lineage: Bacteria
Description: partial 16S ribosomal RNA
Rfam family: Bacterial small subunit ribosomal RNA
Source: RNAcentral